UGAGAAUAAGCGCCAAAUAACAUUCUGCAGGUGCAUAUUACAGUUUCCAAUCUAUAACCUCUGUGAUCUGUGGUGGACAGUUGUUUGGACAUAUUUGGAUUUUGAGAAAACAUUGUUUUAAUUUGUAUUUUUAAUACAAAAUGGACUUGAAAGGCGAUAAAACUGACUAUGGGCAAAUCUGCAGAAUCUGUUUAAAGAGUAGUGCGUGUUUAAAUAACCUGUUUGAAGCUGACGUGCCCCAUAUGUUGAAAUUUUGUGGGUUCUUAGAGGUUUGUCGGUUGCAACUACAUUAAAGGCUUAAAUAAAGUCUUCAAUAGUGCGUCUAGGUUACUACUAUCUAACCAUGAGAGAAAAACGAUAGCAGUUGAUUCAGUUAAGAUUUAAAAAAACCUGAUUGUUUCUAUUAACCCAUCACUGGGGACUGGGGUGAAUAAAAACGCAUGCCAAUUUUAA
Dendroctonus ponderosae (mountain pine beetle) is the source of this 453-nucleotide long non-coding RNA. RefSeq lists it as uncharacterized. Lineage: Eukaryota; Metazoa; Arthropoda; Insecta; Coleoptera; Curculionidae. The record is from RefSeq and is a predicted model, not a curated record. The transcript has 2 exons.